GUGGCUAUUUGACUCAACGCGGGGAAUCUUACCGGGUCCGGACACACUGAGGAUUGACAGACAGUUGUCUUUCCCUCCCUUCGGGGUGGGAUUACAAAAGAUAACAGAUCUUUCAUGAUCAUGUGAUGGGUGGUGCAUGGCCGUUCUUAGUUCGUGGAGUGAUCUGUCUGCUUAAUUGCGUUUCAAAUUUUAUAUUUGUUAACAUGCGAGUCUUCAAUGACGGCCACUCCACCUUAUAGACAUUAUAUGAUAUGCACAUUUGUGUAUUUGAUUAUAACUUGUCUGGAGUCUGGCUCGAUUUUUUUGACUCAAUUGAACGCAACGGACGUGAUUGCAAGUCCUUGUUGAACAAAUUAUAUAUAUACUACUUCAUCAUUAGUAUAUAUAGUUCGCUUCUCAUGUCGUAGCAGUCAAACGGGCGGGCGUCUUAAUUGGCGCGGUCACGAGGCUUAAUAUGCUGCGGCUGGGAAAACUUGGGCGACCGCUGUAAUACUUCUCUCUUAAACCAGAGGAAGAUUGCGGCAAUAACAGG
Molecule: ribosomal RNA, 532 nt
Filed under: Globigerinella siphonifera
Lineage: Eukaryota; Foraminifera; Rotaliida; Globigerinidae
Description: SSU rRNA
Rfam family: Eukaryotic small subunit ribosomal RNA
Source: RNAcentral